This is a long non-coding RNA of Manacus vitellinus (golden-collared manakin), 570 nucleotides long. RefSeq lists it as uncharacterized. The record is from RefSeq and is a predicted model, not a curated record. The transcript has 3 exons. NCBI's taxonomy places the organism in Eukaryota, Metazoa, Chordata, Aves, Passeriformes, Pipridae.
GUGUGCUCCCCCUGUCCCCAGGCAUCUUUCCUGGGAUGGGGGAGACAGGUGGGCAGGAGUCAGCUCCUUCGGCUAGGCUCGACACCACACUCCUGGCCUCUGAGAACUGCCAGAGAGCACUCCAGGUAUGUGCCAGAUGGAUCAGACCUGAAGAAAGCUCCUCCAAAGCUGAGCCUAACUGUGCCUGACACCUCCAGGAGGUCUGUCAGCUGUCUGCAGAGUGGGAGCACGGGAAUUCCUGUUGGAGAGAGCAGAAGGUGGAAUGGGUGGCGUGGGAAGCCUGGGCUGCCAGGGAGGAUCAGCAGGUGCCCCAGGUAUCUGGCCCUGGAGGUCCUUGGGCUCCCCAUCCUUCACUUCAGCCCCAGAGAAAGGGGGUCACUGUGACAUGGGGGAGGGUUGGAACCCCCCUCCCUGUGGACGAGAUGGUGGAGAGAUUCCAGCCUGGGACCAGGCACCUUUCCCCACGAGCCAUCCAGGUGCUCCAUGCGCUGGAGCCACAUCAGACACGGAGGAACAUCUUCACGUUUUUGGCUGAGAACAAGCGACGGCGGCAGGAGCAACAGAAGCAGC